AGGAAUAAUUCUAUAAUGUGUUAAAUCUCCUCAAAUCAUGAUACAGACAUCUUAUGAGUCAAUCACAGACAAUAAUCACUCUACAACGAGAUUUAAGAUUUCAUAGAUUGCAUAUUGAUUUGAUAUUGAGCGGAGGUAAGCUGGCCUGUAACACGUUUAGCUCAAACGCACACAAAGGGAUUAAUUAUAAUCCAGCACAUAACAAACACGCACGGUCACGAAUGUUCAUGCGAUAGGGUCUCCCACUAUAUAGACUUUACAACACAUGCAUCGCUAUAGCGAUCGGGUCGAAGUCCGGCUUGUCAGUACGGCCUACGGAACGGAAAUUGAUGGGAAACCGGAAAUUUGCAAAAAGGAAACAGCAACAGAAAUGCAUCGCAUAAUUCUGUAUCGGAUGCGUCCAAUUGCAGCCAAAAAUGGCGGGACAGAAGCGUGCAAGCACGUUGUUAAUAUAGCACCGACAUUAAUAUGAAGCGCUGUUGAUGUAAAACAGAUAUUAAUCACAUGGACGAAAGCUAUACAUAUGAGACCGAGUAAGUGGCACAUAUUCUACCAUGUAAUGCUACGCAACACAGACACUGAAGGUGGAGAUCUGUUUGCUGCAAAAUCCCGAUAGAUCUGGUCAGUUGUAACUGAUGCCAUAUAUCUUAGGUUAUUAGUGGCUAUUGUUGACUUAUAUCUUAUGUUGUUAGCUGUUGUUAUUGGCGUAUAUCUUUUGUUAUUAUUUGUUAUUUUUUUUACAUUUUUCAUAAGUUGUUUUACAAGCAUAUCUGUUAUAAAUACAUUUAUUUAUAACUUUACAAUCAUAACGUUUACAUUCAUAAUUGCGAUAUUUAUACGCCGAUUACAUUCAUAACUGUUAUUUAUCCCAUUUUCAGCGCGACAUUGACGGUAUAACACGUUGUGGAAUAUACUUGCUUGUAUUCAACACUGUGGAAUAUACCUGUCGCGUGCACGGACUACUUUUUAAAUGACGUCAUGCGAUAUGCGCUAAAAUUAGGUCGAUAUUGUUUGGUUCAUUGAGCGAAUUUUAAGGUCACCCAU
This is a long non-coding RNA of Dreissena polymorpha, 1044 nucleotides long. RefSeq lists it as uncharacterized. The transcript is spliced from 3 exons. The record is from RefSeq and is a predicted model, not a curated record. NCBI's taxonomy places the organism in Eukaryota, Metazoa, Mollusca, Bivalvia, Myida, Dreissenidae.